This 939-nucleotide long non-coding RNA is filed under the name Gossypium barbadense (sea-island cotton). RNAcentral describes it as "long non-coding RNA (GBAR_LNC019332)". The record is from RNAcentral. Lineage: Eukaryota; Viridiplantae; Streptophyta; Magnoliopsida; Malvales; Malvaceae.
AUUGUUUCUGUAUUCACUGAAUUUUGUCCGGCUCGAUUUCGUUUUAAAAAAAAAUCCAAAAAAAUACAAAAAUUAAAAAAAUUACACAUUGACCCCUAAACUCUCAAUAAAUUACAUUUUGGCCCAUAUUUUUACUAAAAUUACACUUUUGCCCUAGAAGCUUUGCAUCCUAUGCAAUUUAGUCCUUCUGGACUUGUCUAAUCGCCCUGCAGCAGCCGAGCGUACCUCUCCCAGCCGAGCUACUCCAGCAGCCCCCCUAGGCCAUCAUGGCUCCUCUGCCACCUGCAAACAAUGAGAAAGAGGACAAAAUUUGGAGCUUUUAAAAAGAAAAAUUGAAGAGAAGGGAGGGGGAUUUUUCGGCAACCAAAAGCAAAAAAAAUAGCAGAAAAUUCCAGCAGCAAAAAAAUACUCCCAUGGGCCGAUCCCACGCUCACCGCCACAGUACACACGCCACCACGAUCGCCGUGCAACGAUCAUCGUUGCUCCUCGCCGAAGUCAAGCUAAGAAAUGUGCAAGCAUAAACAAAAGAAAGGAAAAUAGCAGCAAGCAAGCAAAAAAAAAAGUAAAGUAGAAAGAAGUGAAGAAAGAAGAAGAAGAGAGGAGGGAAAGGAGAACGCCGGCGACCGUCCAACCACCGCAACCAGGAGACACCGACGGCGGUGAAAAAGAAGGGCCAAGGCUUUGAGACAAGAAGAAGAGAAGAAGAAAAAAGAAAAAAAUAGAGGAAGAAAAAGAGAGAAAAAAGAAAGAAAAAAAGAAAAAAAAAUAAAUAAAAAACAGCAGGCUAGUUUUGGUGGACCAGCAGCAGCCCACCAGCAGUGGCCCACCCGUGCAGCUCCAGUUCAUCAGCAGGCCCAGCGCAAUAGUCCAACAGAUUCAGCCCAUUUCCUGGCAGCCCGCAAGUAGCAGCCCAACAAAAAAAAGAAGCAAAGAGAAGAG